This 275-nucleotide microRNA precursor is filed under the name Oryza barthii. RNAcentral's name for it is "MIR821 microRNA precursor family". It matches the Rfam family "MIR821 microRNA precursor family". Lineage: Eukaryota; Viridiplantae; Streptophyta; Magnoliopsida; Poales; Poaceae. The record is from Rfam by way of RNAcentral.
AAUUUCAGCUGAAAAAGUCAUGAACAUAAAAGUUGUAGAGCUCAUCAAGACGUACAACUUUUAUUUUGGUUAUUUCUUCAUCCGAUAAAGUGAUAAUAAUAUUGUUCACAAAGUUUACAUAUCUCUCUUAUAGUUUAUAGAACCAGAUGAGACAGAUGUAAAUUUUGUAAACAAUGUUACUAUCACUUUGUCGGAUGAAGAAACGACCAAAAUAAAAGUUAUAGAUCUUGAUGAGUUAUACAACUUUGUUGUUGAUGACUUUUUCAAUUGAAAUC